AGGAGAGAGAAGAGGCUGAAUACGAUAGACUACCGAAGUGAGCACGAUAGCUGUCUGAACUGUUCCUAGGGAUGGAACCUAGUGUCUCACACCUGCUAGGCAUGCAGUCAACUGCUGACCUCAGCCCCCAGCCCUGGUGCAGAAUCUGAUUAGAAACCUUGGGAAGUCAGGCACCGUGGAACACGUCUGUAACCCCAGCACCUUGGAGGUAAAAGCGAGGAGAUCUUGAGUUCAGGUUUUCCGGCCUGGAAUCUAGUAGAAGGAAGGAAGAGAAUGGAAGAACGGAAGUAGAGAAGGAAGGAAGAAAGGAAAGAAGGAAAUGACAGGGAUGUCUCAGGAGGAAGGGCCAUCCAACCAUGGAGCUGACUGAGGGACAGAAUUGAAGCAGGAAGAGGAGCUCAUCCAUGCGAACAUCAUUUAAGCAUCUGGCUCCAAGUGUGCCUGUAGCUGGUCCCUCCUUGUUCAGGAAUGAACUUCAAAGGAAGAGGCAUGUGGUAUGAGGCCAGAUGUGAGUCUGUCUAAGAAACGCUUGGGGAAAGCCAUAGCGAAGAGCUGACAUUCACUGAAGACGCACGCACAUGGGAGCUGACUUCAUUCUCUGCCAAGUCCCACAAGAUAGAUCCUAUUUUAUCAUCAUUGUGAAAACAAGGUGCACAAAGGUGGAAAGGGAGAUACAACAUCACACAGCAUGCAGAGGGGAAGAGCAGAGAUUCUCAGGGCUGUAAAUGGGGAAAUACCUUGCCAUCAUAUCUUAGAGUCUGGUAGAUCCACACUGAUAUAAGCAAGCACUGACCCAUCACAAGCUAUACUCCAGGAGACACAUGUGCAUGGUUUAGAUGACGCAUCUGCAAAACAUUUGGUCACCGGGAGACGCAAACACAUUGAGUCAAGUGAUUGCCAAGAAACUUGAUUUCCACUCUCAUCUUCUAUCAGAAGACCUUGUGAUCAUUCUCGAAUGGUGAAGAGAAACAGACAAGUUUAGGACCCAAAAUGAGGCAAUCUCCAGAUCCCUCAGCCAUUUCUCACUCCAGUUUGAAAUAUGAUGCUGAUUAAGAAGUUGGACCUUUACCAAAAAGUCAACAUGUAUGUAUAAAAAUCUUGAUAUGUGAUACACUGGCUAAAAGGAAGUUUGUGAUUUUCUUCAAGUAGGCUUUGCUACUGUGCAAUGCAAGCUUUAAAUGAAUGUAUAAUCAUUAGGAAUGUGUAGCCUCCCACUAAGCUAUUAGUGUGCAGGCGGGCUUCUUGGUAGUGUUACCUUACAAACAACACUGAUGCUAUGUUAAUGAUUAAAUGUACAGAGAAAAAAAUCACUCAGCUUGAGGCGGAAAGAAAAAUGAGAUUAGAAAAGAUUUUCAAAUCAUGAGAAUUAAGCAUUAAUGGGUAGUUGUUUAGUUUGAAGAAAUGCAAUACUGUCUUCUACAGUGGGCUAUGAAAUUAGGUAUUUAUCCCUUUUAACAAAUUCCACAUGCAAUGGAUGAAUGUCAGUGUGAUUCAUGGUGCUUUCCAAAGAGCUCCUUCUUCUUUGCAUAAUCAGACUUCUUCUGUUCUCUUGUUAAAGUCAUAUGUACAAUUGGCUGUACAUAGUUACCUAGACAUCUAGAUAAGAGCCAAUCCUUCCAGAAGGCACCAGUGGAGAUGGACGAAUUGGAUACUGUUGGUAAAAACAAAGAUAAGCUCAUGAGGGAGAAUAAAUCAGGAAAGGGAUCAAUGUCAAAUCCAGUGGUUUCUCCUUAGUUCCUGGCUAACUCUUGAGAUCAGACAUGGCAAAACCCUUAUAAUUUAUUAGAACUCUGAGAAGAGGGAGUUGUGUUUAUGAUCUAUCAAGUGUGCUCAUCUACUACUGCAAAUGACUGGCUCUCUCUGAAAAUGGCUUAGGAAAAGUCAUAGUCUUAUCGGAUGGGAAUCCCACGAGUACCAUCAGCCUGGAGUGCAGUGGGAUUUGGGAUUCAUGCCCCAUCAUGAAUUAACUACAUGUCCAGUUUUUGCUUCUCUCCAUUGUAUCAACUUGGAGCACCAUAUAGUGAUCCUUAGCAAUAUUCACAUGCAAUCCAUGCCUUACAUCCAGGCACAUUUGAGCUCCGUAAUGCCACACCUGCAGUUUCAUGAGCCCAUAUGCCUCAGACACAAGGAGCUGGGUUACUAAAGACACGGGAUUGUCUGUGACGGGAAAUGCUGUACUUAGACCUGGUACAAGCAACCUCCACAAGCUCUAGAAAAAUGAAUACUUACUAGCUCAAAACAAUUAACUGUGGGCUUCAAUGGGGGCUGAGGGAGGUCAGGCUGCUGACACAGGAGAUAGGCACUUCUCUGAAGGACAGAAAUAUCAUAGGUACCACAGGCACCAUGUGAGAGGACAGUAAUACUUACUAACCUGUCAACCCACCCAGAAAGCAGUCUCCCAUAAGGAAAUAUUCUUCCUUGGUGGCUUUGGGGCUUCAUUUUCUUUCUUUUUGUAUCCCACUCCACAGGUCUAGAUGGACACAUGAAAUAGCAAUAUUACCCAUAGUUGGGCACAGUGGCUGAGAAGUACAAUAUUAUACACUAUUAUUCUUCUUAAAUUUUUACAUAUUUAUGUCUAGAUAAAAUGUCUAUAUCCAUGGGAUGGACACUUACCCUUGAAGGUUAGAGUAAUUGUGUCAUUUUUAUGGGAAUACUUAAUAAGACUUGUUUCAAAAAUUGAAGUGAAGCUUCGCUUAAAUAUUCUCAUUAAAAUUAUUUAUAAGAUAAUUAUAAAUGGUGUAUUAUCCUUUAAAACUAUCUCUAUUUUGAAUAUUAAGAAAUGCUUUAGAAACUAGACUUACAACAUUUAAUUUUUAACAUGUAAUUUUAUUUACAUUUUUGAUUAAAAUACCCUCAGAUAUUGUAGCUUCAUUUUACUCUCAGCCUUUUAGAUGACAAGAUGAUUAGCUAAAAAGGAGAAUAAAUUGAAAAAAGAAACUUCCAAUCUUAUAAAAACAGUAGCCUUAAACCUGGUUUCAAUUUUUUUAGCAUUAUAAAGGUCAAGGUAGAUGGGGAGCCAGAACACAGUGUAUUAAAUCAUAUUUUCGUGUUGAGGUAUAACUUUAAGGUAUGACUAAUGCUUUUAUGUGUUUUCAUCCUGUAUCCAGGUUAUAGACAUUGGAAAGGAGUGUACUCAUACAAUUUUAGUACCAUGACCAACAGAAGAGUGACCCCUGGAAGUAAGGGGAGAAAUGUCACUUAAUGUGUUGAAAUUCCAUUUACUUGUAUUACACAGUCUGAUCUAAUUAAAUAUCCCUCAAUUAAUACCCAUCGAAGUUGGUGUUCACUACUGUAGCAAAAGAAUGAAUGAGUGAAUCAAUGCUUUUAGAGACUUUCAAGCUUUGUAUGCUAGGUCAAAUGUCAAAGAUUCUGAGGUAUAGCUCUCGAAGAAAAUUAAAUACAGUUUCAAUGUAAUGAUAACAGCAUUAAACUCUGUGCCACUUAUAGACAUUUAUGUUCAGUUUAAGAAACUUUUGCUUUUCUAUACAAGGGUGAACCCAAAGAUUAAAAACAAAAGCUUUGAUUUUCUUACUGUAUCCUAAUGAUUUCACUCACAAGAGCCUUCACAGUUCACUUCCCACCCAAAACACGCAUGCUUAUUGGUAGACACAGAACCCACAGCUCCAUGUUCAUAUUACUGCACAUGUAAUCAAAUUAACUCUAGCAUAAAAUGGAUAACCAUCAUUUAAAAUAUAAGCCAGUAGUCAUCUGAUUCUAAAUAGCACACAAUUAAAACAAUCCCAAAGACUACAAAGCUUGUAGAAACUUACUAAUAGUUAUAAUACUACAUUACCCUUUGAAAAGUUUUAUGUAUCUUUUUAAAUACCCUGACACACACACUGUCUCAUUGGUUGUCUAAUUUCAACAACAUAUUUUAUGAAAUUGCUUUGUUCCCCUUUUCAGUGAAGAGGCAUAUGAUGGAGAAACAUUUUCUUAAACUAGUCUACAGUUUAAUAGA
This is a long non-coding RNA of Peromyscus californicus insignis, 3958 nucleotides long. RefSeq lists it as uncharacterized. Lineage: Eukaryota; Metazoa; Chordata; Mammalia; Rodentia; Cricetidae. The transcript is spliced from 7 exons. The record is from RefSeq and is a predicted model, not a curated record.